Molecule: non-coding RNA, 893 nt
Filed under: Pongo abelii (Sumatran orangutan)
Lineage: Eukaryota; Metazoa; Chordata; Mammalia; Primates; Hominidae
Source: RNAcentral
AGGAUGGAGACCCGGGACCCCUUGAGAACAUCCCAGACGUUGAUAGUGUAAUCAUUGUAUCCAGCAAACAGCAGGCGACCUUGAAGCAGGAAAAGUUCCCUUUGGGGCAUGAAGAGAAGCAAAGGCUGGGGAGAAAAUGCCUGAGAGCACUGUGGAAGUGAAUUUCUGACACUUCAUUGCCUUGAAGGACAGCAUUAGGUCAUAGAGGCGACACUGGGGAGCAAAUAAAUAAAGAAGCACUUACUUCUGGCUUCAGUCUGGUGACGUGAUGACCACAGAGCUACAGGGAAGGAACAAAUUACAAGGAGGGGAAUCUGCUCCCGCCCUGGUGUUGCACCCACUGGCUGUCCACAGGACCCCCUCCAGCCUUGACUUCCCUCAGGAGGCCUGCAUACAUCCAACAAGAUGACUUAAGCUGGCAAAGUAGCUUAUGGACACACAAAACCUGAACUGAGGCUGAAAUUUGGGUACUAAUAUUUUGUUGGAUGCUCGAAUUCCCUCAGUCUCUCCUGGCCCACACCCACUAGUGGUUGUUCCAACUCACUGCUUUCCUAAUAACACUUGCAGUAACUUAGUUUAUUUUGAGACACCAGGUCCAAACAAUUUUCUUUAAGCAACUACCCCAGUCUUGCUCUUUAAUUUAGGAAAUUUUCAUACCAUACUGUUUGAUCAAAGAAAUGAAUAGUUUUUAAAAGUUAAAAGUAGAUUUCUAAUACUUUUCAAUUUUGUGUUUCUGAUCUUCAUUAUAAUAUAAGUAAAAAUAAAUUUUAAAGACCAAACAUUUAUUCAUAUAAAUGCAUGAAACAGAACCCCUAACUCAUUGUCACUCAUUUGUUCUGGAAUGCAGAGAAUUUGUAGGUUUAAUACCAUAGUCUCAUACCAGCUGCUUGAGU